UUCAAGGCAACUGUACAUAGUGUGAGUACGCCCUAAGUUAACUCUACAAAUUUCAGUGGUGUCACGGUCACACAAGGAAGACAAAGGAGGCUAAAACUUCAAGGGUGUUUAUUCAAGCUUCGUGACAACAAAGGUAAGGUGAAGCAGGUGAAUGGCGUUGAAGAGGGUGAGCGAUCUCACACACAAACAGUUCAAUGGAUAAGCUCAGUACUUUGGUUAUACGCCAGCAUAAGAAUACUCAUUUCCCUUAAAAAGGUGGAUUCACAGGAGGAGAAUAUUCACGGAGAAACAUAGGAGAGAAGACCAUGUGCCUUUGAUUCCAGCCGAUGACUGAGUGAGUGAGAGAUUCUGUAUUCGGAGUGGACUGUUAUUUGACCCGGCCCAAAUGCGGAUCUAUCUGAAGCAAAAUACCACUGAAGCUCAGUCAACUCCACUCCACGUCUCAAGUCCGCCGACAUACAUGGCGAGCCACUGGACAAACUGGUAACAGCGGGAAAGCC
This is a non-coding RNA of Danio rerio (zebrafish), 500 nucleotides long. The record is from RefSeq and is a predicted model, not a curated record. NCBI's taxonomy places the organism in Eukaryota, Metazoa, Chordata, Actinopteri, Cypriniformes, Danionidae.